Non-coding RNA from Pelobates cultripes (western spadefoot toad), 288 nucleotides. NCBI's taxonomy places the organism in Eukaryota, Metazoa, Chordata, Amphibia, Anura, Pelobatidae. The record is from the annotation of a GenBank genome assembly.
CCAUUCCCAGCAAGAAUUAUACUAAUCGAGUUGUCAGGCAAAUAUUAGUAGUUCAAGGUCAUACAUGAUGCCAGUCCCCAGUGGGCUGAGGAUUAUACUACAUACACACAUCUAUUGACUUUGACCGCUCCUAGCAUUUUGUCGACCAAUCUUUUAGCGUUUCCUGCAAUCAUCCUGUUGCCCCCUCAUGUCUUAUCCUGGCUCUGCCAGGUGUCCUUUCCUGCCUCUUUAUCCCGCCUUGUGGCUGUUCCUUAUAUAUCUACCAAUUGGGCUAUGUGUGUACUGUCC